Non-coding RNA from Taeniopygia guttata (zebra finch), 920 nucleotides. The record is from RefSeq and is a predicted model, not a curated record. NCBI's taxonomy places the organism in Eukaryota, Metazoa, Chordata, Aves, Passeriformes, Estrildidae.
CACGGCGGCUCGGCGGGCGGGCCCCGCCCCCGCGAGUCUCAGGGGCCGGAAUGGGCCCGGCCGGGGGGAGCGGGGCGGCGGCACAGGCUGCGUCCAGGAGGGUCUGGAACAUCUGCAGUGAGGGACUGCUCAACUUCUCUGGGCAAUCUGUUCCGCUGACCGGUCACCUGCACAGUGAAGUUCUUCCUCAUGUUCAGGAUCUCCAUGUCUGUCCUGUCCUGAGGAGCCCGGAACUGGACACAGCACUCCAGAUCCAUCUCACUGGGGCUGGGUGGAGGGGCAGGAUCCCCUCCCUGACCUGCUGGCAGGGCUCUCCCUGAUGCACCGCAGGAUCCCGUUGUCCCUGCUGGCCCCAGCCCCGAGCCGUGCUCCGGGCAGCAGGCGCGGUCCGUGCCGGAGCGGUGGGGCCUGCGGGAGGCAGCGCCGCGCCAGGAGCCGCAUCGGCGCGUCCGCCCCGACCCCGGGCGCGGCUGCACAGCGGGGCCGGGCGGCCUCGGUACCCACUCACAGAUACCGACUCCACUCCCAGAGAGCCGCGGUGAGCUUUGGCCGGCUCAGGAGCAGCCGAAGGCGGUGCGGUGCUGACCGGACAGCUCCCGCCUGCCCCGCCGGGCAGCCCGGGAGCGCCAGCCCGCUCUCCUCCCCGGGGAGCGGCCUGGGGCUGGGAGUACCGAAUUCUUGGUGCUGAAAAAAUAACAGUUUUGGCAAAAGCGUCGUUCUGUUCUGCUGAGAGAUGGAUAAAGAACGUGGCUGUAAUGGUAGCAACUCUCUCUAAUUUGCACCAAAAUGCUUCUAAUCAUAGGCAAAUUCAGGGUUCCCAGGCCCUUCAAGUGGAACCUGGCUGACACCUGCCCAGGAGCCACGACUACAUCUUUGGCUGUGCUGUACAACUGCUUCAAUACAUACAACUGUAGCUUUUA